RNAcentral lists this ribosomal RNA (932 nucleotides) under Cortinarius viscoviridis. RNAcentral's name for it is "LSU rRNA". It matches the Rfam family "Eukaryotic large subunit ribosomal RNA", at positions 40 to 959 of the family's 3401-position model. Lineage: Eukaryota; Fungi; Basidiomycota; Agaricomycetes; Agaricales; Cortinariaceae. The record is from RNAcentral.
AUAUCAAUAAGCGGAGGAAAAGAAACUAACAAGGAUUCCCCUAGUAACUGCGAGUGAAGCGGGAAAAGCUCAAAUUUAAAAUCUGUCAGUCUUUGACUGUCCGAGUUGUAAUCUAGAGAAGUGUUAUCCGCGCUGGACCGUGUACAAGUCUCCUGGAAUGGAGCAUCAUGGAGGGUGAGAAUCCCGUCUUUGACAUGGACUGCCAGGGCUUUGUGAUGCGCUCUCAAAGAGUCGAGUUGUUUGGGAAUGCAGCUCAAAAUGGGUGGUAAAUUCCAUCUAAAGCUAAAUAUUGGCGAGAGACCGAUAGCGAACAAGUACCGUGAGGGAAAGAUGAAAAGAACUUUGGAAAGAGAGUUAAACAGUACGUGAAAUUGCUGAAAGGGAAACGCUUGAAGUCAGUCGCGUUGUCCAGGGAUCAACCUUGCUUUUGCUUGGUGUACUUUCUGGUUGACGGGUCAGCAUCAAUUUUGACUAUUGGAAAAAGAUUAGGGGAAUGUGGCAUCUUUGGAUGUGUUAUAGCCCUUGGUUGCAUACAAUGGUUGGGAUUGAGGAACUCAGCACGCCGCAAGGCCGGGUUUUAACCACGUACGUGCUUAGGAUGCUGGCAUAAUGGCUUUAAUCGACCCGUCUUGAAACACGGACCAAGGAGUCUAACAUGCCUGCGAGUGUUUGGGUGGAAAACUCGAGCGCGCAAUGAAAGUGAAAGUUGAGAUCCCUGUCGUGGGGAGCAUCGACGCCCGGACCAGACCUUUUGUGACGGAUCCGCGGUAGAGCAUGUAUGUUGGGACCCGAAAGAUGGUGAACUAUGCCUGAAUAGGGUGAAGCCAGAGGAAACUCUGGUGGAGGCUCGUAGCGAUUCUGACGUGCAAAUCGAUCGUCAAAUUUGGGUAUAGGGGCGAAAGACUAAUCGAACCAUCUAGUAGCUGGUCUGC